This 447-nucleotide ribosomal RNA is filed under the name uncultured bacterium. RNAcentral's name for it is "SSU rRNA". It matches the Rfam family "Bacterial small subunit ribosomal RNA", at positions 26 to 518 of the family's 1533-position model. The record is from RNAcentral.
AGAACGAACGCUGGCGGCAGGCCUCAAACAUGCAAGUCUAGGGGGUGUAGCAAUACAUCACCGGCGGACGGGUGCGUAACGCGUGGGAAUGUACCUAUUGGUUCGGAACAACUGAGGGAAACUUCAGCUAAUACCGGAUGAGCCCGAAAGGGGAAAGAUUUCUCGCCAAUAGAUCAGCCCGCGUCCGAUUAGCUAGUUGGUGGGGUUAAAGCCUACCAAGGCGACGAUCGGUAGCUGUUCUGAGAGGAAGAUCAGCCACACUGGGACUGAGACACGGCCCAGACUCCUACGGGAGGCAGCAGUUGGGAAUCUUGGACAAUGGGGGAAACCCUGAUCCAGCCAUGCCGCGUGAGUGAUGAAGGCCUUCGGGUUGUAAAACUCUUUCGACGGGGACGAUAAUGACGGUACCCGUAGAAGAGCUCCGGCUAACUUCGCGCCAGCAGCCGC